This is a non-coding RNA of Schistosoma mattheei, 45 nucleotides long. The record is from Rfam. NCBI's taxonomy places the organism in Eukaryota, Metazoa, Platyhelminthes, Trematoda, Strigeidida, Schistosomatidae.
AUCCAGCUGACGAGUCCCUAAUAUGACGAAAUGCGCAUCCUGGAU